This 3209-nucleotide long non-coding RNA is filed under the name Salmo salar (Atlantic salmon). Its description in RNAcentral is "lncRNA (ENSSSAG00000098124.1)". Lineage: Eukaryota; Metazoa; Chordata; Actinopteri; Salmoniformes; Salmonidae. The record is from RNAcentral.
UCUGGGUUGGCGCCCCCCCCCCUUGGGUUGUGCCGUGGCGGAGAUCUUUGUGGGCUAUACUCGGCCUUGUCUCAGGAUGAGGACCUGAGCCCUAGGACCAUGCCUCAGGACUACCUGGCAUGAUGACUCCUUGCUGUCCCCAGUCCACCUGGCCGUGCUGCUGCUCCAGUUUCAACUGUUCUGCCUGCGGCUAUGGAACCCUGACCUGUUCACCGGACGUGCUACCUGUCCCAGACCUGCUGUCCCAGACCUGCUGGAACCCUGACCUGUUCACCAGAUGUGUUACCUGUCCCAGACCUGCUGUUUUCAACUCUCUGGAGACAGCAGGAGCGGUAGAGAUACUCUCAAAGAUCGGCUAUUAAAAAGCCAACUGACACUUACUCUUGAGUUGCUGACUUGUUGCACCCUCAACAACUACUAUGAUUAUUAUUAUUAUUUGACCAUGCUGGUCAUUUAUGAACAUUUGAACAUCUUGGCCAUGUGCUGUUAUAAUCUCCACCCGGCACAGCCAGAAGAGGACUGGCCACCCCUCAUAGCCUGGUUCCUCUCUAGGUUUUGGCCUUUCCUAGCCACCAUGCUUCUACACCUGCAUUGCUUGCUGUUUGGGGUUUUAGGCUGGGUUUCUGUACAGCACUUUGAGAUAUCAGCUGAAGUAAGAAGGGCUAUAUAAAUACAUUUGAUUUGAUUUAGGUGGGACGUUAGCGUCCCACUCUAUUCAACAGCCAGUGGAAUCGCGAGGCGCGAAAUACAAAUACCUCAAAAAUUCAAUAAUUUCAAUAUUUCAAACAUACGACUAUUUUACACCAUUUGAAAGAUAAGACUCUCGUUAAUCUAACCACAUUUUACAAUUUCAAAAAGGCUUUACAGCGAAAGCAAAACAUUAGAUUAUGUUAGGAGAGUACAUAGACACAAAUAACCACACAGCCAUUUUUGAAGCAAGCAAAUAUGUCACAAAAACCCAAACCACAGCUAAAUGCAGCACUAACCUUUGAUGAUCUUCAUCAGAUGACACUCCUAGGACAUUAUGUUAUACAAUACAUGCAUGUUUUGUUCAAUCAAGUUCAUAUUUAUAUCCAAAAAAAUAUUUUUACAUUAGCAUGUGAUGUUCAGAACUAGCAUUCCCACCCAAAACUUCCGUUGAAUUUACUAAAUUACUCAUGAUAAACGUUGACAAAAUACAUAACAAUUAUUUUAAGAAUUAUAGAUACAGAACUCCUUUAUGCAAUCGCUAUGUCAGAUUUUAAAAUAGCUUUUCGGCAAAAGCACAUUUUGCAAUAUUCUGAGUACAUAGCUCAGCCAUCACAGCUAAUUUGACACCCGCCAAGUUCGGAGCAACCUAAACUCAGAAUUAUUAUUAGAAAAAUUGGAUUACCUUUGCUGUUCUUCAUCAGAAUGCACUCCCAGGACUGCUACUUCCACAACAAAUGUUGUUUUUGUUCCAAAUAAUCCAUAGUUAUGUGCAAAUAUCCCCAUUUUGUUCGUGCGUUCAGGUCACUAUCUAAAGGGUAAUGCGCGAGCGCAUUUCGUGACAAAAAAUGUCAAAAUGUUCCUUUACUGUACUUAGAAGCAUGUCAAAUGCUGUUUAAAAUCCAUUUUUAUUGUAUUUGUCUCGUAAAAUAGCGAUAAUAUUCCAACUGGACAAUGCUGCAUUCAUUCAAAAAGGAAGAGAAAAAAUGGCGAGGUCUCGUGAACUUGCAUGUCCAUUCCCUUUGUCCUCAGGCAGACCACUGACAAACUGAGUUACUAUACUUUGCCCAGAGACAGGAGACGCCCCAAUCCGCUUUCUGGCGGCUUUAGAGAGCAAAUGGAAGCCUUAGAAAGUGCAACAUAACCCCACGGAUACUGUAGUUUCGAUAGAGAAGCAAAAGGAGAACUACAAAAUCGCAGACAGGCCACUUCCUACUUGGAAUCUUCUCAGGUUUUUGCCUGCCAUAUGAGUUCUGUUAUACUCACAGACACCAUUCAAACAGUUUUAGAAACUUUAGAGUGUUUCCUAUCCAAAUAUACUAAUAAUAAGCAUAUUCUCGUUUCUGGGCAAGAGUAGUAACCAGUUUAAAUCGGGUACGUUUUUUAUCCGGCCGUGAAAAUACUGCCCCCUAUCCCAGACAGGUUAAAACACACAGUAAAGGGGGGCGGGAAAAGGGGCUGAGCCGGACCCAAGGAAAGAAACAAUAAUCCAAAACACCCCUAAGCUAGACUAGCCUACUUCAAGAACAGCUAGCUAACUAACCAAAAAUACAGUGGGUGGUCCGCCCAGUUCUAACUAGGGUAUUUAGACAAGGGUUACCUACGGGUAGUGUAUGCCCAUGGGCGACUUGUCUUGGUACCCCCUUUUCCCACCAUCAAACAAACAGUCAACACUUUAACAAAAACAAUACUCACAGGCUGACAGACAAAGUGACAUGUAGUUGCCAAAAACAAAAGAGAGAUCAAUCCAUAGAGAGAGAGAUGGGGGCACAGAGAGAGAGAGAGAGAUUCAGAGAGAGAUUCAGAGAGAGAGAGAGAGAAAGAGAUUCAGAGAGAGAGAGAGAUUGAGAGAGAGAGAGAUUCAGAGAGAGACAGAGAGAGAUUCAGAGAGAGAGAGAGAGAGAUUUAGAGAGAAUGAGUUAGAGAGAGAUUCAGAGAGAAUGAGUUAGAGAGAGAUUCAGAGAGAUUGAGCACAAAGAGAUUGAUCUGGGAAGAAAACAACUGACUGGGUUUUUAAACCAAGGGAAAGGGAUGUGAUUGGUUGAGGGAAAAGGAGCAGGUGUCUUGGUUGGUGACUGAUUGAUGACUGAUUGGGGAAUGAUGAUUGUCACCUGUGAGGGGAGAAGGAGAGAAAAGAAACACACACACACAGGAUACAUACACAGGAUACCUGUAUCCGUAACACUCCAUCCGGGAUCUGAACCCGGGACCUCUCGGACAAAGUCAUUUGGAAUUUGAUUGUUACUAUAUUUAUAAAGCCUUUCAGUCAUUUCAAGUCCUAUUCAUUUCAAGUCCUAUUCUCCCACUUUUGUUGAGUAGCUAAAAAAGCAUAAGAUUUUCUAUAUUUUCAUAAUAUUUGCACUGUGUACUUGAGCUUGUGUCCUCAAAAGUGAGUACACCUUGGUCUCCGGGUGGUGCAGUGGUCUAAGGCACUGCAUCACAGUGCUAGCUGUGCCACCAGAGACUCUGGGUUUGAGCCGGGAGGCCCAUGAAGCAGCGCACAAUUGUCCAGGUUAGGGAGG